GUAAACGGCAAUAAUGUUCAGCAAAGUAAGAUUUACAAAUAAGUCAACAUGACCAAAAUGGUCAGUUGACCCCUUUAGGAGUUAUUGACCUUUAUAGUCAAUUUUUAACCAUUUUUCGUAAAUCUUAGUAAUCUUUUACAAAAAUCUUCUCCUCUGAAACUACUGGGCCAAAUUAAUCCAAACUUGGCCACAAUCAUCUUUGGGAUAUCUAGUUUAAAAAAUGUGUGGCGUGACC
Molecule: long non-coding RNA, 235 nt
Filed under: Mytilus galloprovincialis (Mediterranean mussel)
Lineage: Eukaryota; Metazoa; Mollusca; Bivalvia; Mytilida; Mytilidae
Source: RNAcentral